UACGGGAGGCAGCAGUGGGGAAUAUUGGACAAUGGGCGAAAGCCUGAUCCAGCCAUGCCGCAUGAGUGAAGAAGGCCUUCGGUUGUAAAGCUCUUUAGUGAGAAAGAAUAAUGACGGUACUCACAGAAGAAGUCCUGGCUAACUCCGUGCCAGCAGCCGCGGUAAUACGGAGAGGGCUAGCGUUAUUCGGAAUUAUUGGGCGUAAAGAGCGCGUAGGCUGAUUUAGUAAGUUAAAAGUGAAAUCCCAAAGCUUAACUUUGGAAUUGCUUUUUAAAACUGCUAGUCUAGAGAUUGAAAGAGGAUAGAGGAAUUCCUAGUGUAGAGGUGAAAUUCGUAAAUAUUAGGAGGAACACCAGUGGCGAAGGCGUCUAUCUGGUUCAAAUCUGACGCUGAGGCGCGAAGGGCGUGGGGAGCAAACGAGGGAUUAGAUACC
Molecule: ribosomal RNA, 433 nt
Filed under: uncultured bacterium
Lineage: Bacteria
Description: bacterial SSU rRNA
Rfam family: Bacterial small subunit ribosomal RNA
Source: RNAcentral